UGCAAGUCGAGCGGUAGCACAGAGAGCUUGCUCUCGGGUGACGAGCGGCGGACGGGUGAGUAAUGUCUGGGAAACUGCCUGAUGGAGGGGGAUAACUACUGGAAACGGUAGCUAAUACCGCAUAAUGUCGCAAGACCAAAGUGGGGGACCUUCGGGCCUCAUGCCAUCAGAUGUGCCCAGAUGGGAUUAGCUAGUAGGUGGGGUAACGGCUCACCUAGGCGACGAUCCCUAGCUGGUCUGAGAGGAUGACCAGCCACACUGGAACUGAGACACGGUCCAGACUCCUACGGGAGGCAGCAGUGGGGAAUAUUGCACAAUGGGCGCAAGCCUGAUGCAGCCAUGCCGCGUGUGUGAAGAAGGCCUUCGGGUUGUAAAGCACUUUCAGCGGGGAGGAAGGCGAUAAGGUUAAUAACCUUGGCGAUUGACGUUACCCGCAGAAGAAGCACCGGCUAACUCCGUGCCAGCAGCCCGCGGUAAA
RNAcentral lists this ribosomal RNA (478 nucleotides) under activated sludge bacterium OC11. Its description in RNAcentral is "bacterial SSU rRNA". It matches the Rfam family "Bacterial small subunit ribosomal RNA", at positions 56 to 524 of the family's 1533-position model. The record is from RNAcentral.